GAUGAACGCUAGCGGGAGGCCUAACACAUGCAAGCCGAGCGGUAGAGUCUCUUCGGAGACUUGAGAGCGGCGCACGGGUGCGGAACACGUGUGCAACCUGCCUUUAUCUGGGGGAUAGCCUUUCGAAAGGAAGAUUAAUACCCCAUAAUAUACUGGAUGGCACCAUCUGGUAUUGAAAACUCCGGUGGAUAGAGAUGGGCACGCGCAAGAUUAGAUAGUUGGUGAGGUAACGGCUCACCAAGUCAGCGAUCUUUAGGGGGCCUGAGAGGGUGAUCCCCCACACUGGUACUGAGACACGGACCAGACUCCUACGGGAGGCAGCAGUGAGGAAUAUUGGACAAUGGGUGAGAGCCUGAUCCAGCCAUCCCGCGUGAAGGACGACGGCCCUAUGGGUUGUAAACUUCUUUUGUAUAGGGAUAAACCUAGAUACGUGUAUCUAGCUGAAGGUACUAUACGAAUAAGCACCGGCUAACUCCGUG
Molecule: ribosomal RNA, 479 nt
Filed under: uncultured bacterium
Lineage: Bacteria
Description: partial 16S ribosomal RNA
Rfam family: Bacterial small subunit ribosomal RNA
Source: RNAcentral